CCAGACUCCUACGGGAGGCAGCAGUGAGGAAUAUUGGUCAAUGGCCGAGAGGCUGAACCAGCCAAGUCGCGUGAGGGAUGACGGCCCUACGGGUUGUAAACCUCUUUUGUCGGGGAGCAAAGAGAGUCACGUGUGGCUCAUUGAGAGUACCCGAAGAAAAAGCAUCGGCUAACUCCGUGCCAGCAGCCGCGGUAAUACGGAGGAUGCGAGCGUUAUCCGGAUUUAUUGGGUUUAAAGGGUGCGCAGGCGGAAUGUCAAGUCAGCGGUAAAAUUUCGGGGCUCAACCCCGUCGUGCCGUUGAAACUGGCGUUCUUGAGUGAGCGAGAAGUAUGCGGAAUGCGUGGUGUAGCGGUGAAAUGCAUAGAUAUCACGCAGAACUCCGAUUGCGAAGGCAGCAUACCGGCGCUCAACUGACGCUCAUGCACGAAAGCGUGGGUAUCGAACAGGAUUAGAUACCCUGGUA
RNAcentral lists this ribosomal RNA (463 nucleotides) under uncultured bacterium. Its description in RNAcentral is "bacterial SSU rRNA". It matches the Rfam family "Bacterial small subunit ribosomal RNA", at positions 331 to 792 of the family's 1533-position model. The record is from RNAcentral.